This 68-nucleotide transfer RNA is filed under the name Hexostoma thynni. RNAcentral describes it as "tRNA-Arg". The record is from RNAcentral. Lineage: Eukaryota; Metazoa; Platyhelminthes; Monogenea; Diclybothriidea; Hexostomatidae.
GUCGAUAAACUAAAUAGGUUAGGGCUACAUUUCGGCUGUGGUUUAGGAACUAAGCGUUCCUGUCGGUU